This 790-nucleotide ribosomal RNA is filed under the name uncultured archaeon. RNAcentral's name for it is "bacterial SSU rRNA". It matches the Rfam family "Archaeal small subunit ribosomal RNA", at positions 55 to 853 of the family's 1478-position model. The record is from RNAcentral.
GAGUCAACGUAGCAAUACGUGGCAUACGGCUCAGUAACACGUAGUCAACAUAACCAAAGGACGUGGAUAAACUCGGGAAACUGAGGCUAAACCGCGAUAGAUCAAGAUACCUGGAAUGGUUUUUGAUCAAAAUCUAUAUGGCCUUUGGAUUGGACUGCGUCCGAUCAGGCUGUUGGUGAGGUAAUGGCCCACCAAACCUAUAACCGGUACGGGCUCUGAGAGGAGGAGCCCGGAGAUGGGUACUGAGAUAAGGACCCAGGCCCUAUGGGGCGCAGCAGGCGCGAAACCUCUGCAAUAGGCGAAAGCUUGACAGGGUUACUCUGAGUGACUUUCGUUAAGAGAGUCUUUUGACACCUCUAAAAAUGGUGUAGAAUAAGGGGUGGGCAAGUCUGGUGUCAGCCGCCGCGGUAAUACCAGCACCCCGAGUGGUCGGGACGAUUAUUGGGCCUAAAGCAUCCGUAGCCGGCCUUACAAGUCCUCCGUUAAAUCCAGCUGCUUAACAGAUGGGCUGCGGAGGAUACUAUAAGACUAGGAGGCAGGAGAGGCAAGCGGUACUCAGUGGGUAGGGGUAAAAUCCGUUGAUCCAUUGAAGACCACCAGUGGCGAAGGCGGCUUGCCAGAAUGCGCUCGACGGUGAGGGAUGAAAGCUGGGGGAGCAAACCGGAUUAGAUACCCGGGUAGUCCCAGCCGUAAACGAUGCAGACUCGGUGAUGGACUAGCUUUAUGCUGGUCCAGUGCCGCAGGGAAGCCGUUAAGUCUGCCGCCUGGGUAGUACGGUCGCAAGACUGAA